CGUGUGCUUACAAGUAGUCAGAGCCCGUUAAUGGGUGAUGGCGUGCCUUUUGUAGAAUGAACCGGCGAGUUACGAUUUGAUGCAAGGUUAAGCAGUAAAUGUGGAGCCGUAGCGAAAGCGAGUCUGAAUAGGGCGUUUAGUAUUUGGUCGUAGACCCGAAACCAGGUGAUCUACCCUUGGUCAGGUUGAAGUUCAGGUAACACUGAAUGGAGGACCGAACCGACUUACGUUGAAAAGUGAGCGGAUGAACUGAGGGUAGCGGAGAAAUUCCAAUCGAACCUGGAGAUAGCUGGUUCUCUCCGAAAUAGCUUUAGGGCUAGCCUCAAGUGAUGAUUAUUGGAGGUAGAGCACUGUUUGGACGAGGGGCCCCUCUCGGGUUACCGAAUUCAGACAAACUCCGAAUGCCAAUUAAUUUAACUUGGGAGUCAGAACAUGGGUGAUAAGGUCCGUGUUCGAAAGGGAAACAGCCCAGACCACCAGCUAAGGUCCCAAAAUAUAUGUUAAGUGGAAAAGGAUGUGGCGUUGCCCAGACAACUAGGAUGUUGGCUUAGAAGCAGCCAUCAUUUAAAGAGUGCGUAAUAGCUCACUAGUCGAGUGACACUGCGCCGAAAAUGUACCGGGGCUAAACAUAUUACCGAAGCUGUGGAUUGUCCUUUGGACAAUGGUAGGAGAGCGUUCUAAGGGCGUUGAAGCAUGAUCGUAAGGACAUGUGGAGCGCUUAGAAGUGAGAAUGCCGGUGUGAGUAGCGAAAGACGGGUGAGAAUCCCGUCCACCGAUUGACUAAGGUUUCCAGAGGAAGGCUCGUCCGCUCUGGGUUAGUCGGGUCCUAAGCUGAGGCCGACAGGCGUAGGCGAUGGAUAACAGGUUGAUAUUCCUGUACCACCUAUAAUCGUUUUAAUCGAUGGGGGGACGCAGUAGGAUAGGCGAAGCGUGCGAUUGGAUUGCACGUCUAAGCAGUAAGGCUGAGUAUUAGGCAAAUCCGGUACUCGUUAAGGCUGAGCUGUGAUGGGGAGAAGACAUUGUGUCUUCGAGUCGUUGAUUUCACACUGCCGAGAAAAGCCUCUAGAUAGAAAAUAGGUGCCCGUACCGCAAACCGACACAGGUAGUCAAGAUGAGAAUUCUAAGGUGAGCGAGCGAACUCUCGUUAAGGAACUCGGCAAAAUGACCCCGUAACUUCGGGAGAAGGGGUGCUCUUUAGGGUUAACGCCCAGAAGAGCCGCAGUGAAUAGGCCCAAGCGACUGUUUAUCAAAAACACAGGUCUCUGCUAAACCGUAAGGUGAUGUAUAGGGGCUGACGCCUGCCCGGUGCUGGAAGGUUAAGAGGAGUGGUUAGCUUCUGCGAAGCUACGAAUCGAAGCCCCAGUAAACGGCGGCCGUAACUAUAACGGUCCUAAGGUAGCGAAAUUCCUUGUCGGGUAAGUUCCGACCCGCACGAAAGGCGUAACGAUUUGGGCACUGUCUCAACGAGAGACUCGGUGAAAUCAUAGUACCUGUGAAGAUGCAGGUUACCCGCGACAGGACGGAAAGACCCCGUGGAGCUUUACUGUAGCCUGAUAUUGAAAUUCGGCACAGCUUGUACAGGAUAGGUAGGAGCCUUUGAAACGUGAGCGCUAGCUUACGUGGAGGCGCUGGUGGGAUACUACCCUAGCUGUGUUGGCUUUCUAACCCGCACCACUUA
Molecule: ribosomal RNA, 1678 nt
Filed under: Staphylococcus aureus
Lineage: Bacteria; Bacillati; Bacillota; Bacilli; Caryophanales; Staphylococcaceae
Also listed under: 1 other name
Description: partial 23S ribosomal RNA
Rfam family: Bacterial large subunit ribosomal RNA
Source: RNAcentral